Non-coding RNA from Phoenix dactylifera (date palm), 5475 nucleotides. Lineage: Eukaryota; Viridiplantae; Streptophyta; Magnoliopsida; Arecales; Arecaceae. The record is from RefSeq and is a predicted model, not a curated record.
CCCAGGCCGGACCGGUACGUACCGGCCCGUACCGGCCGGUACAGACCGGCACUGCAGACCAUGAUUAGUAGCGAUGUGGAGUUCGAUGAAGAAGAUUCAUGGGAUUGGAGUAAUGAAGAUAAGGAGAGGUAUGAUUUCUUUCCAUUCCUUGAUGAAGAGGAGCAAAAAAGUAAAGUUCAAGAGCCCACAACACCUUCUCAAUCACUAACAACUCUUAAUUCACCUUCUUCAUCUUCUAGUGGAAGCUCUAGUGAAAGGCAACCACGAAUGAGGAGUCUUCAAGAUCUUUAUGAGGUAAUGAAAAAUCUAAAUGGUGAUCUAACUCGUUUUUGUCACUUUGCCGAUUGUGAGCCCAUAGUUUUUGAAGAAGCGGUAAAAGAUGAGAAGUGGAGAAUUGCCACUGGAUGAGGAGAUCAAGUCAAUUGAGAAGAAUGACUCUUGAGUGUUGGCAACCAUGCCGGAAGGUCAAAAGCCCAUUAGUGCGAAGUGGGUUUUCAAAGAAAAAAAAAGAGUACUAAUGGUGAAGUCGAGAGAUACAAGGCAAGGUUGGUAGCCAAGGGAUAUAGCCAACGUCCCGGAAUUGACUAUGGUGAAGUGUUUGCUCCCGUUGCACGGUUGAAGACCAUCCGAAUGAUAAUCUCACUUGCGGCUUAAAAGAAGUGGAAGAUUUAUCAAAUGGAUGUCGAAUUGGAUUCUUGAAUGGCAUUCUUGAGAAAGAGGUUUAUGCUGAACAACUUUUGGGCUAUGUGAUCAAAGGCCAUGAAGACAAAGUAUUGAAGUUGAAGAAAGCCUUGUAUGGUUUGAAGCAAGCGCCAAGGGCUUGGAAUAGUCGAAUUGACAAGUAUUUUCAAGAGAACGGGUUUACCAAGUGCCCACAUGAGUAUGCUCUCUAUGCUAAGAUGCGUGAAAAUAGAGAUAUUUUACUUGUUUGGUUAUAUGUUUAUGAUUUGAUUUUUACGGACAAUAAUACAAGUAUAUUUAAACAAGCUAUGACGAGAGAGUUUGAAAUGAUGGAUAUUGAUCUCAUGUCUUAUUAUCUUGGCAUUGAGAUCAAGCAAAUGGAGGAUGGAAUUUUUAUUCCUAAGAAGGUUUUGCCAAGGAGAUUCUUAAGAGAUUCAAGACGGAAGAUUAUCAAUCCGUGAGUACUCUGGUGGAAUGCGAAGCCAAAUUGUCUAAACAUGAAGAAGGAGAGAAGGUACACUCUACAAUCUUCAAGAGUCUAGUUGGAAGUUUGAGAAACCUAACUUGCACGAAACCGAAUAUACUUUUUGGAGUUGGGUUUAUUAGUCGGUUUAUAGAGUCACCAAGCAUGACAAAUUUCAAAGCAGCGAAACGAAUUUUUCGUUAUAUCAAAAGUACAAUUGGUUUUGGCUUGCUUUAUUCAUUUUCUAAUGAAUUUAAGCUUGUGGGCUAUAGUGAUAGUGAUUGGGCCCGAGAUAUGGAUGACCAGAAGAGCAUUGCUGGCUUUGUUUUCUACUUGGAAAAUACAGAUUUUAUUUGGAGUUUGAAGAAGCAACCAGUUGUGACACUUUCUACUUGUAAAGUUGAAUAUGAUGCUGCUACAUCUUGUGUUUGUUAUGUCAUAUGGUUAAGAAAAUUGUUGGAGUUACAAAUGCCACAAGAGGAGGCUAUGGAGAUUUUUGUUGACAACAAGUCGGCCAUUGCAUUGCCGAAGAAUCCGGUUUUCCAUGAUAGAAGCAAGCAUAUAGAUACGAGGUAUCAUUUUCUUAAAGAUUGCAUUGCGAAGAACAAAGUGCAAGUGAAGUAUGUGAAGACCCAUGAUCAAGUUGCAGAUAUUUUUAUGAAGCCUCUCAAGUAUGACACUUUUUGCAAGUUGAGGAUGAUGCUUGGAGUUACGAAGAAUCAAGUUUAAAGGAGGGUGUUGCGAAAAUAAACUUAAUUCAAUGAAUGUCUUUUGGGAGGUUCAUGAAUGUGUGAAGGGUCACUUUGAAAGUGGUGAUUCAUGUAUGGGUGAGUUCAUGAAUUUGGGUUUCCUAUGUAUUUAAGUAUUCAUGUAUUUGGCUAGUUCAUGUAUUUGGGUUUUCUAUGUGCAUUUAAGCGGUUCAUGUAUUGGGUUUAUACAUGCACCUAGGAGUUCUAUAAAUACUAUGUAAGUCUUGUGGUUUUAGAAAGAGGCAAGAGCCAAAGUGAAUAGAAAAAUUUUGAAGUAUUUCACCUCUUCAUCAUUUCCUCACUAGAGAAAUCUCUCUUCCUAUAUUCCAACAAAAAUAUAGUCCUGUUAGCAUAAUAAAAGCCAGUAGUCUCCUUCUAGUACAUGAAUUGGUUCGGCCACCAUGCAGAGUCCCAUGCCCUAAUCAUACAGUAGAUAUUCGAAAUCCAGCAUCAGGUAAAAGGUGUAAAUGAAGCCGUGGGGCAGAAAAAUGGAAAGAAAUAUUGAUCUAAACUAUAAAAAGCACAUUUAAAUUUAAUCCAAAACCCAAAAUUGAAGUCCUACAAAAUCUUCUAAAGGUGGGAAUAAACAAAUAAAUGCAUAAAAUAAAAUAUUUUAAUUUCUUGUAUUUAAUAAACAAGAAACCUAGGACAUGACAAGUUUGUAGGGCAAAGGCUAUUAGCAUGGGAACAUGUGGUGAAGUCAUGAUAAGGGAAGAUUGCAAGGUUUUCCUCCUUGCCAACAUAACUUGGGUCUGCAUUGGUCUUUGUGAUAUUUUUAGAUAUCUAUAAAAAUUGGCAAGCUUUAGAUAUUAAAAUGGGCAAGAAAUCCAACACUCCCAGAUGGUCAGACAAUAUAAGGAGUUGAAGUUAAGAUGAUGGAGGUUCUUCGCCAUACUCCUGAAGGACAGUAUUUAAAGGCAGAUUAGCAUAUGAUGAUGUUGAAAUAAGUCAUAAAGGCGGAGACAAAAGAUACAACAAAGAAAUGAAAACAAAAGUCUGGCCAUUAGGUGGAGUGUGAAGUCUAUAAGUCAAAGAUCUCCCAGAGUGCUGAAAGAUGUAGGACAAAUAAAACAAAGGAAGGCGACAACCAAAUUGUUUAAUCUUGAAAAAAAAAUGGAGAUGAGAAAUGAAUUAAAUUUAUCUACAUGAACCUUGUAAUACCUAAGAUAAUAAGUCAGCUAAUAAUCAACAAGACAAUGGCUUGAAGAAGUAGGUCAUGUACGAUUCUACAUUCAACAUGAAAGCACCAAAAAGAGGUUUGAGUGAUUUGCUUGCUAUAUCCUUAGAGUAUUAUUUGUGAAUCAUUAAAUGAGCACACUUAAUAAUGUGAUAUUCACAUUUUAUGUAAUACAGAUUAUGUAAACCAAAUAUGUGUGGCCACAAAUGACCUGAUUUCACUUGAAACACUGAAUCAUUCAUUAGGGUUAGCAACUUUUGGUAGUUCUAGCUAGAACAACAGAAUGUCUAAGCAUUUCCGAUUUUCAUGUUUGAAAUAGGACAAGUACCAACCAUAGAAUGUACCAGCUGGUUGUAAUUUAAGGUUCAAAAAUUGAUUGGUCAUCGUUGUGGAUACAAUUGCAAGUUGUCUAAGCUUCUUAGCAAUGAUGUACUGCCCACAAUAAUGAAAAUUGACGUAUCGUGUUAAGUAUUUUGACAAAUUUGUGGCCACACUUGUCUUGUUAAUGAUAUUAUACAAUAAUAUGAAGCUUUACCUAUAUGCAUACAGGAGAGAAGAUGAAUAGACAUCAAAUUAGGGUAUUUCUUUAUGCAAGCUAGGUAGGUCCAUUGUGGGUCAAUGGCACAAUCAAUUGUCAUGCAUGCAUCAGGCAAGAAUGACAAUGUAAUGGGUCAAGCAUGAUAUGUGUUAAAGUCCAUACGCUAGUGCUGACCCUACAUAAGUUGAUUGAACCCUUUGUACCUGUAGCAUUGAAUAUGUGCGGGUCAUGUAAACACAGGAGUGUCUAACCAUAUUAAUGCAUAAACCUCAUGCACAUUCCUUCAAAUAAGAGACUCUUCAUGUGCAAAUAUUUUGGUACUUAUUAAAGAAUGAGAUAGGAACAAAUCUAAUAACAAUCAUUUGAGGGCAUGAGAACGAGAUAGGAUCAAAUCUGAUGACAAUCAUUUGAGGGGCUGAACCAUUAUUGCAGUUGGUAAUUAAUCAUGAAUGGGAUAGAGUCAAAUCUAGUGGCAAAUGAAUAGUCACUAUAUUUGAUAGCUAUUUAAAAAUGAGGUAGGAACCCCAACAAUUUUUAGUAAUGAUAAUUUGAGAAUGAGAAACUAUGAGAAUUAAAUCUAAUAGCAGUCAUUUGGGGGAUGAACUCUAGAUAUUUUGGUAAAAGAUUAUUAAUAAAAUAGGACGAAAUCAAAUUAGAAAGGUUUUGGAUAUACUUCUUGAACAAGUGCAUUGAAUAACAUAUCCAAGUUGAUUAUAUUUUGAAGGGGAUAUAGGAAAGGCUCACAAACACAAGAUAAAUUGAUAAAUACGUUCCAACCAUGCCUAUCCGAGAAAAUGACGGUGGAUGAUUGCAUGUUCAGCUUUUGGAUGGAGAUACCAUUGAUAAAAAUAAAUUUUAAUAAAAUAGAUCUUAGAUCAUACCUUGAGUCAUUGAAUCCAUGAUGAACUUGAAGUUUGAUCUACAAUAGCAAUUAUCUUCAAUAUAAUAAGAGAUUAGCAGAAGAUUCUUCUGGAGAGAGAGCUCUAUAUGCAUGUGUUUAAAAAAGAGGUCCCCACAGGCUAUUUAAAGCUUUCUCUAGAGACCAACUGCCACAGGUCGUUACACCCGUGAAAAGUCACCCCCCAUCAAGAUAACUCUUCACCAAUGUGAAAUUCCGUUUAUGCCCUCGUGAUUAUCAAAAUUUACAAAAUUCAAGAGACACUUGUCAAUGUGGGCUUUAACUAGACGGGAUCCAACAUUCUCCUAUUUGGACCAUAUUGACGCCACUUAUCAAUUUGGGCCACAACUUGACGGGAUCCCAACAGUUCAUGCUUGCAACAGCAUUGGCUGCUCAUGGUGAUCUUGAUGUUCAUUUUGCAAAAUUCAUAAAGACCAACUAUUGUUUGAGUUCCGGAGUUUGAUCCAGUAUGCCUUUUGGGCAUUGCCCUGAAAAAGGAGCUUCCUUCCAACUGGUUGAAGACAACUCAAUGCGGCCCCCAGUCAGGUCAUGAUUGAGUACCCAUGUUGGGUUAUGCAUGAAUGGCCAAAUGGUUUUCUACCUAGCCACAAAAGUUUAUGGCAAUGGUUCUGUACAAGAAAACCGGAAGAGUGGGGGGAGCGUGGACUGAUAGCCCAAAACUCCUUCGAGUGCCCGAGAGUUGUUCAAUGAAAAUGCUUCGGGGCGACUGUGAAUUGAACACGAAAGAAGUUCAUCAGCCCUACAUUUGCUGACUUGGCAACUCCACAAUCAACCAACCUGCUGUGUUUGGCAACAAAUCCAUGAGCUGCACCAACCCCCUCUUGCCACCUGGUAAGAGGACUGCCUGUGUCCACUUUAAUUCUUACCAAGUUGUCUGUUGUAUCGAGUGUUGACAAUGUGGCUUUCCAUGAAUAUUGCAUUUCAAAGUUCUUGAGUGGAAGGUCCAUA